This is a long non-coding RNA of Gastrolobium bilobum, 965 nucleotides long. RefSeq lists it as uncharacterized. The transcript has 4 exons. Lineage: Eukaryota; Viridiplantae; Streptophyta; Magnoliopsida; Fabales; Fabaceae. The record is from RefSeq and is a predicted model, not a curated record.
AACACCGGUAAAGACUACAGUGCAAUUAAACAACUGUUAGUGGAUCUGUGAUCUACUAAUCAAAUUUUUAAGUUAUGAACAUGAUAAUUAGACAAAAUUAAUGUUAAGUACUUAAAGUUAGAGUCUUGAGAGUUUUCGGGUAAAAAUUUGACGACGGAUCAGUUAAAAAUUACACCGGGUCUCACUAAAGGACGAAUAUCACUUAAGUGACAUGGCACCCCUCAUUAGGGCACCCUCCUCUCCUUCCCUUCCAUUUCUGAUCAGCAGCCCCUUCACCUCCUUCUCUCUCUAAGUUUCAAAUUUUGAAAACUCUCUCACUUCUCUCUAAGAUUUCUUCACCUAAAUCUCUCUAAACCACCAAACUUCCUUCACAAAGAUUGUUCCCCUCACUCUCCUCUUCACAACCAUACCAUUUUCAUGGUGUGAAUCAAAAAUUUCGUGUCCCUUAUCAUCCCAAACAGCCAUGGUUUUGUGGAGAGCAAAGGCUAUGGAGUUGUGUUCUUGAGCUCUCUUGAAGAAUCACACUUGCUUGCUUGUUUCCUUUGAUUUUUGGGUGUGUGCUUGCCUAAAGGUGUGUUCUUGGUGGAAAAAGGUGGAGACUUGAGCUAAAGGAGAAACCUUGAAGAUGUGUGCCUAGAGAACCGUGCACUUGAGGAUUUUGUUGGAGCAUACGUAUUAUAUUGGAGUGUGGGCUUGUGCUAAGCUCCCUAAGGUACCCAGAGUAGUGGUGAUGCUUCUAGGGGCAAGGCCCCCGCAUUGGAGUAGUUGAUGAUGCAGCUGAUGAUUUUAUAUUAUGUUUAGAUUUGAUGUUGGCAUGUAGACUUGUUAACAUGCUUAAUUAUUUUAUGGAGAUUAUUGUAUGUAUUUAUUUAGGCUCAUGAUAGUAUUCUUAGAGCCAUGGAUUAUUUACUGAUACUUUUAUACUUCGAAUUAAUAUAGACUUGAUGCAUGUAUUCAGUUAAUUU